GGCGUGCUUAACACAUGCAAGUCGAACGAGAACGGAACUAGCUUGCUAGUUUGUCAGCUAAGUGGCGCACGGGUGAGUAAUAUAUAGUUAACCUGCCUUCAAGAAGGGAAUAAUUGUUGGAAACGACUUGUAAGACCCUAUAUGCCUUUAUCACAUAAGUGAGCAAGGGAAAUAUUUAUAGCUUGAAGAUGGGACUGUACGGUAUCAGAUUGUUGGUGAGGUAAUGGCUCACCAAGUCUAUGACGCCUAACUGGUUUGAGAGGAUGAUCAGUCACACUGGAACUGAGACACGGUCCAGACUCCUACGGGAGGCAGCAGUGGGGAAUAUUGCACAAUGGACGAAAGUCUGAUGCAGCAACGCCGCGUGGAGGAUGACACAUUUCGGUGCGUAAACUCCUUUUAUAUAAGAAGAUAAUGACGGUAUUAUAUGAAUAAGCACCGGCUAACUCCGUGCCAGCAGCCGCGGUAAUACGGGGGGUGCAAGCGUUACUCGGAAUCACUGGGCGUAAAGAGCGUGUAGGCGGGUAUUUAAGUUGGAAGUGAAAUCCUAUGGCUUAACCAUAGAACUGCUUCCAAAACUGAAUACCUAGAGUAUGGGAGAGGUAGAUGGAAUUUCUGGUGUAAGGGUAAAAUCCGUAGAGAUCAGAAGGAAUACCGAUUGCGAAGGCGAUCUACUGGAACAUUACUGACGCUAAGAUGCGAAAGCGUGUGGAGCAAACA
RNAcentral lists this ribosomal RNA (720 nucleotides) under uncultured bacterium. Its description in RNAcentral is "bacterial SSU rRNA". It matches the Rfam family "Bacterial small subunit ribosomal RNA", at positions 41 to 774 of the family's 1533-position model. The record is from RNAcentral.